GGAGAAGUGGCAGAGUUGGUCUAUUGCACCUGACUUGAAAUCAGACGGUCGGAAACGGCCCGAAGGUUCGAAUCCCUCUUUCUCCUCCA
This 89-nucleotide transfer RNA is filed under the name Bacteriophage sp. RNAcentral's name for it is "tRNA-Ser". It matches the Rfam family "tRNA". From Rfam's summary of the family: Transfer RNA (tRNA) molecules are approximately 80 nucleotides in length. Their secondary structure includes four short double-helical elements and three loops (D, anti-codon, and T loops). The record is from RNAcentral.